UCCGUAGCAGAUAUUUAUCGU
Molecule: non-coding RNA, 21 nt
Organism: Caenorhabditis elegans
Lineage: Eukaryota; Metazoa; Nematoda; Chromadorea; Rhabditida; Rhabditidae
Source: Ensembl